Molecule: long non-coding RNA, 653 nt
Organism: Paramisgurnus dabryanus
Lineage: Eukaryota; Metazoa; Chordata; Actinopteri; Cypriniformes; Cobitidae
Source: RefSeq, a predicted model, not a curated record
GUUCAGAAAAAAAAUAUAAAAACUUAUGCAAUAAAAACGACAAAUGAGUUCUGAUUCAAAACAAUGUAACAUGACGUUUUUUUUUUUUGUGAAAAUUCUUUAAGGUGAUAAAAUAUGUUAUAUUUUUAUGAAUGAAUUCACAACGCGUGCCAAAAUCUACUGCAUUUCUUUUGUGUAAUUUGCAAAUUAAACCAAAUUCAAGUGUGAUUUACAAAAAUAAUCAACAUUGCAAUUUUAAGUUUAACCACAAGGGUGUGUAAAAGCUUAGGUGGCGAGGUGGCGCGUGAUCUUUUUUUGCACGUGAUCAACAGACGUAAUUAAGCAUCGCCAGCGUAAACGUACUCAACGGACACAACCUGCUGUGAACAGGACCUACAUACACCCCAAAGGCUCUUUUCAGAGCCAUUUGACCAAGCAUCUUUGUACAUGCCGGUUUUCCUUCAGUAGUGCCAGUUUUCCUAAGAUUUUACCUCGUCCUCCACUGCCUCCAGUAAUUCCUGGUUUUAAGGUGGAGUAAUGGAGUAAAGAUGCAACGGAGCAGCUGAUAAGAAAACAUGCUUAAGACCAUCUUAAACGUGCACCAUCAAGAAAGGGAGGGGGCACCAGGUGAAAUCUUGCCUAGGGCAGCAAAUUGGCCAGGGCCGGCCCUGACU